CUGAUAUGUUACAAUGUCGUUUUAUGACCAUCAGAAUUCUGUAAAAUCUCUCCCCAAAGUCCAGGAAAUGGCAUUUCAGAGAGUCUAAAUUCAAAAAUUUUCCGGAUGAGCAUGCCCUGGACCCCCUAGAAAAUUUGUGCAUAUACGGCGCUCGACUCAUGCCUUUGGCACUUCUACUAGGGGGGCCUUCGAAAAUUUUGAACCGGGGGCCCCCUGAUAUAACGUUACGCCACUG
RNAcentral lists this long non-coding RNA (235 nucleotides) under Paramuricea clavata. Lineage: Eukaryota; Metazoa; Cnidaria; Anthozoa; Malacalcyonacea; Plexauridae. The record is from RNAcentral.